Molecule: ribosomal RNA, 607 nt
Filed under: uncultured eukaryote
Lineage: Eukaryota
Description: SSU rRNA
Rfam family: Eukaryotic small subunit ribosomal RNA
Source: RNAcentral
GUAACGAUGACACCAGCGAUUAGUCGGUGUUAAUAUACGACCCGACUAGCAGCUUCCGGGAAACCAAAGUUUUUCGUUUCCGGGGGAAGUAUGGUUGCAAAGCUGAAACUUAAGGGAAUUGACGGAAGGGCACCACCAGGAGUGGAGCCUGCGGCUUAAUUUGACUCAACACGGGAAAACUCACCCGGCCCGGACACCGUAAGGAUUGACAGACUGAGAGCUCUUUCUUAAUUCGGUGGGUGGUGGUGCAUGGCCGUUCUUAGUUGGUGGAGCGAUUUGUCUGGUUAAUUCCGAUAACGAACGAGACUCUGGCCUAUUAAAUAGUCGGUAUAUCCAGAAAAGUUUACCGUACUUCUUAGAGGGACAAACGGCGUCUAGCCGCGUGAAAUAGAGCAAUAACAGGUUUGUGAUGCCCUUAGAUGUCCGGGGCUGCACGCGCGCUACACUGAAAGAAUCAGUAUGCGCUUUAACCUAGUCCGGAAGGAUUGGGUAACCCGAGCAAAUUCUUUCGUGCUUGGGAUAGGGAAUUGCAAUUAUUUCCCUUAAACGAGGAAUUCCCAGUAAAUGCGGGUCAUAAGCUCGCGUUGAUUACGUCCCUGCCCUUUGU